Molecule: ribosomal RNA, 253 nt
Filed under: uncultured bacterium
Lineage: Bacteria
Description: partial 16S ribosomal RNA
Rfam family: Bacterial small subunit ribosomal RNA
Source: RNAcentral
UACCCGCAGCACAAGUGGUGGUCAUUAUUAUUGGGCGUAAAGAGCUCGUAGGCGGUUUGUUGCGUCGGCUGUGAAAUCCCGAGGCUCAACCUCGGGUCUGCAGUCGAUACGAGCAAACUAGAGUGUUGCAGGGGAGACUGGAAUUCCUGGUGUAGCGGUGAAAUGCGCAGAUAUCAGGAGGAACACCGGUGGCGAAGGCGGGUCUCUGGGCAACAACUGACGCUGAGGAGCGAAAGCGUGGGGAGCGAACAGG